UGACAGGCGUCCUAGGAAAGCAGUGAAGAC
This 30-nucleotide non-coding RNA is filed under the name Mus musculus (house mouse). The record is from RNAcentral. Lineage: Eukaryota; Metazoa; Chordata; Mammalia; Rodentia; Muridae.